This 158-nucleotide ribosomal RNA is filed under the name Calosporella innesii. Its description in RNAcentral is "5.8S ribosomal RNA". It matches the Rfam family "5.8S ribosomal RNA". From Rfam's summary of the family: 5.8S ribosomal RNA (5.8S rRNA) is a component of the large subunit of the eukaryotic ribosome. It is transcribed by RNA polymerase I as part of the 45S precursor that also contains 18S and 28S rRNA. Lineage: Eukaryota; Fungi; Ascomycota; Sordariomycetes; Diaporthales; Sydowiellaceae. The record is from RNAcentral.
AAACUUUCAACAACGGAUCUCUUGGUUCUGCCAUCGAUGAAGAACGCAGCGAAAUGCGAUAAGUAAUGUGAAUUGCAGAAUUCAGUGAAUCAUCGAAUCUUUGAACGCACAUUGCGCCCGCCAGUAUUCUGGCGGGCAUGCCUGUUCGAGCGUCAUUU